UACGGAGGGUGCAAGCGUUAUCCGGAUUCACUGGGUUUAAAGGGUGCGUAGGCGGACAGGUAAGUCAGGGGUGAAAUCCCGGGGCUCAACCUCGGAACUGCCUUUGAUACUGCAAAUCUCGAGUCCGGAAGAGGUGAGUGGAAUUCCUAGUGUAGAGGUGAAAUGCGUAGAUAUCAGGAGGAAUACCGGUGGCGAAAGCGACUCUCUGGACGGCAACUGACGCUGAGGCACGAAAGCGUGGGGAGCAAACAGG
This 253-nucleotide ribosomal RNA is filed under the name uncultured bacterium. RNAcentral's name for it is "partial 16S ribosomal RNA". It matches the Rfam family "Bacterial small subunit ribosomal RNA", at positions 524 to 776 of the family's 1533-position model. The record is from RNAcentral.